GGGGUGUGUUGGUAGAAAAUAGGGGUGCGGAAGAAGGUGUGUUUUUCUUUCUUUUAUGAAAUCGAAUGGGCUUAAGCCCAAAGACGAAGGGGUGCGAAUAGGCAAAGGGGGGUUGCAAGGCCAGAAUCUCUUGGGUCUAGGCCCAAAUUGUUAAUCAGAACCUAAUUAGGGUUCUCUCUUGCAACUCCAUCCAAGAGUGAUGCCUCUCAUUCGCAGAAGCCAAAUCAAAGAGGAAGCAGCUUCCUCUCAUGCGCCCACCUACGUCUGCCACCGAACCAGCCGCCACCGUGCCAUCCGACCAGCCUUGGCUUCGCCGACGACAACACACCCUUCGAGAGAGAGCGGCGAUUUCAUAUCCUCCGCCACCACGCGCACGUCGUCGCCCCUAUCGAACGGCCACCGCGAUGCCACCAAAGAGGGUCGCCAGCGGCCACCGUCGACCACAGCGUCCAGCCGGUCGCCACCGUCAAGCCUUCCCCUCUCCUUCUCUUUCCCCGUGCUGACCUAGGGUUGGGGGUUCCUUCUCAAAUGCGCCGGCGCCCCCUCCGACAGCUACCGCGCCACCACCGUCGAGGUUCGUCUCGCAUCAUCGCCGGUGACGCCAACCUUCCUUCUUCUUCGAAUUCGAACACACCAUUGCCGUCAGAGAAGCUAAGCGUUGCCGCCACCGUCGACCACCGGUAGCAGCCGUGAGGAUUGGUUUCCUCUCCGACUCCCAACUUCUUUGUUCAGCCCUCACCCUCGACUUAGUUACCCAACGAGACAGGGUUGCCUAACAGUAUUAGAGUUUCGGGAUUUUGUGCUUGUGCUCUUGUGCUUGUGAUUGGCGACUUUGGGUUUUGAUGUCCUUGUGUGUUUAUUUUUUUUUUUGUGUGCUUGUUGUUUAGGGGAUCAACCCCUAUCUUAAUGGCUUAAGAUGAACAGAGGAAAGGAGACUCAGUUUCGUUAUCUGACUCAGUUUGUCGUGGUCGCGAUUGAUUCAGGGGUCUUGGAUUGUUUCAAAGGAUAAACCUUAAACCUGUGGGCAUGGGAUUUAUGAUUUUGGUCUGUUCAUGCUGUUUGAUGCAGGUGGAAGAUGGUCACGAAGAUAGCCAUAACUUAUACCAGUAUACAACCUAUGGAGGAAACUGUGGUCUACUAUAAGGACAAAACCGCUUCUAUUCUUUCGGUUUUUCAUAAGAACUGAUAUGGAAAUGCAUUGAAAAUGCAGUUUGAUAAAAAGAUGAAACCACGAUCAAGACUACCACCACUGUACAUCAUGAUGAAACAUCAUUCGUCUAUCUCCAAGCAUGCGUAAUGAAAGCAUACAGGUAAGCAAGUCCGAAGAGCUUAUGUAUGAGGACUUACCUACGCAGCUUCAAGACUCCUCUGCAGCUUCAGGACUUGCAGCCUCAAGAAUCCUUUGCAGCUUCAAGACUCCUUUACAACUUCAAUACUUGCAGCCUCAGGAAUCCUCCGCGGCUUUUAGACCUUCCUUUUUGAUUCUCUUUUCCAGUAUUCUCUUGGGUAGGUGGUAAUGAUAUUCCCCGUGAUCUCUUGCUGUGAUGUGCUCUGUGUAUUGUUCUCUUUCUGUGCCCUCUCCUGUCUUGUGCUCUCUGUUGUUAUCCUUAAGGUCCUCCCCUGUUUUCAAAAACCAACCCCAUAUCUUCUGCUGUAGGAUUUUUUCUUUUGUUUUUUUCUUCUUCUCAUGUAUCAAUUUGAUUGAUCAGUGAAAUAAUUCAAAAAUCCUUUCUCCUUUGGUA
Molecule: long non-coding RNA, 1742 nt
Organism: Vigna radiata var. radiata (mung bean)
Lineage: Eukaryota; Viridiplantae; Streptophyta; Magnoliopsida; Fabales; Fabaceae
Exons: 2
Source: RefSeq, a predicted model, not a curated record